CUAAAAUGGGACUUGGAAAACAGAAAAAUACGUAAGCAUCCUCUUUCAGGCCAGUAAAGUGGGGUACUAUCAUCUAAAUCUCCAAAAAGGUCAUUCAACUCUGAUCCCUGUUUAAAGAGAGAAAAAAGGAAUAAAGGAGCCUUUGAAGGCAGAAUAUUGCUCACUCAUCUCUUUGAAAGGACCUCAGACUGCAGAGCAGAAGAACCACUGGCUACAUCAGCUGGGGCAGAGGGGGAUGAAGAGAACAUCAUGAU
Molecule: long non-coding RNA, 254 nt
Filed under: Homo sapiens (human)
Lineage: Eukaryota; Metazoa; Chordata; Mammalia; Primates; Hominidae
Description: non-protein coding RRS1-AS1:11
Source: RNAcentral